AGAGGACUGUUGAUUCCUCUACUUCUCAGACUCAACAGGCUGAAAAUCCUGUUACAUAUAAUAAAGAAGAUCAGACACAGCAGACUGAUAAUUCUGCUACUAGACUUAUUAGCCCAAUAGAUCUUAAACAGAAAAGCCCAAUUAAUUUUCCAGGAUUAUUCCAAUCAGCUCAAGAUCCAGACCAAAUUUCUCAAUCAGAUAUUAGAAAGAUUAAAGAGAUGUUUGAAAAGAUUGAAGAAAUUCAGCAACAAGUUAAACAAAGUACUACGAAGAAAAAGAAACUACAAAUUAAAAAGAAAAACAAAGGAAAAAAGAAGAUUGAACAAGACAGAGAUUUGGAUGAAUUCAAAGAUAAUAAUUCAGAAGAUAACCCAGAAGACUUUACUGACGGAGGAGAUUCUUUAGAUAGUAUUGACAGACACAAUUAUGCAACAAGAUAAGAGAAUUUUCAGACAGGUGUAAAGAAUCAAUCAGACAGCUGGAGAAAAGACAAGAAGUCUCUAGAAAAAGAAUAUAUUGAUUGAAGAUUUUUGUCCAGACGUCAAGACUUUUGAAGAUUUUUUACUAUUUACUUUUUGAAAAAUCUGUAAAAGAAUCUUACUAUUUUAUAAAGUAAGAUUUGAUAGGAUAGUUUUUACUAUUUACUUUUUGACGUUUUGAAAAAAGCAAAGAUUCCUUGCUUUUAGCUAACGUCUAUCUUAUCUUUUCUCUCCUAUAAAAGGAGAUCAUUCUUUCAUUUGUAAAAACACGGAAGAACAUAUAUACAAUACAAGUUUCUAAUUCUCUCAAAUAUGUUCUGAUUUUCCUUCUUUUCCGAAAGGGAAAUUCUUAAUUGUUCUUAUUCUUAGAUGAAAUAAUAUCCCAC
Molecule: long non-coding RNA, 865 nt
Filed under: Olea europaea subsp. europaea
Lineage: Eukaryota; Viridiplantae; Streptophyta; Magnoliopsida; Lamiales; Oleaceae
Source: RNAcentral